CCUGUCCCAACUAGUCUUGAGUGUGGUAGCGUACACCUGCUCCCUUCUGGCUUUGGGGAAGGGGAUGAGACUGCGCUCCCGAACCGGAGGCAUACUGGGCCGCUGAGGCAUAGGAAUGGUCACAAGGUUUAAGCCCUGAAUUAAGUUUUCCCCCUUAGACGCCUCAAGCCCUCCAGCCCAAGAUGUAGCCCUCGAAUAGUCUAGCUGCGGGGUUCCGCGUUCAUGGUUUAAGGGAAAGUUAUCCAAACGGAAGUCCACCCCCGAAAACCAAUGAAGAAAGCCGAAUAGGAUUAUGAGAUGCGGGAGGGGGUGCCCCGCAGCUCUAAAAGCUCACCUCCUUACGACCCUGCCAAGAAUGUGGGUUGAGAAUUCAUCUAAGAACGCUGUGAAACAUGAGGCACACACAGGAGACCCCCUUUUCUAGCAGGCCAAUUCGGAUGACCCCCACCCCGCAUCAUUAUUGAGCACAGGUGUUGAACCCUUCACCUGUGUGUGUGUGCAGCGAAAGGGUCUUGACUUGAUGGGGCUGUCUGAGUGGUCCUCAACUGACAUGCAAUCCAUACUCUUUCAUUCAUAGAUACAGCUUUCCCUAUGGGAUUUUUGGAGGGGGAAAAUGACAUUAAAAAUUCUUCAGGGCAGGGGCAGUGAGAUGGCUCAGUGGAUGGAGAGAGCCAGACCUAGGGAGAGAGCGAAGAUCCUGGGUUCAAAUCUGGCCUCAGACUCUUUCUAGGGUGUGAUCUUGGGCAAGACACCACCCCAAGUGUGUAGGCUUUACCACUCUUUUGCCUUGGAACCAAUACACAGCAUCAAUUCUAAGACAGAAGGGGUUUCCCUGGACAGCAGAAGAAGGAAGGACAUAUUUGGAAAUGGAAUAAAAGCAAAAGGUCUCUACCCAUCCAUGCCUGUUUAUCAAGAGGGACUCAUCUAUGUCCUCUUGCAAUUCCACCCUAUUGGUUCCGUCCAAUGUGCUGUGAUGGGAAUAUGGGGGUGCUGGAAGGGAGGAAGGAGAGAAGGAAAGAGGAAAGGAGGAAAGCAGAGAGAUAUCUUGAAAAUUAGUUCUCUGAAAAUGGAAAACAGUAUGGCAGAAAUGAGACAGAGACUGUCACCUCAUGCCAUAUACCAAGGAAUGAAAUGAAAAACAAAUCAGCUUGGCAGAAAAAGGUGAGUCAGCUAGUAUAUGAGAGCAAGUUCCCUCUCUUCAAUGUGGCUGGAUUGGAGCACUCGGGAAUAUCCUGUUUUGAGAAAGUCAUUUUGUAUCCUAAGUCCAUCCCCUCUCUGGCAGGAGGUAGGUAGCAUCCUUAUUUUCAAUCUUUUGGAAUUAUGGUUGGUUAAUGGUGCAUCUUAAUAUGUGUCUGUAAUAUGAGUCUGGAACCUAGAAAAUCUAGAGGAAGGAAUAGCUAACAUCCAUUAGUGUCUCUCUUUAAAAACAAUAUUUUAAGUAAGCCUUGGUUAAAUGCUGGAUCAUCAACUCAUGAUUGAAUUCUUGGAUAAGCACCUGAAGUGGUUGUAUUCUUUGUUGUUGAUUAAAGGGUGAUUGUGCUUUUGCUGUAGCAAGCUUUUGGGAGGAGGAGAUGUCAUCCUAUGGGAAAAAUAUCAGAGCUUGACAUACUGUGACAGAGAGUGAAGAGUAGCAACCUUAUGCUAUGAUCAUUUUUUUCCCUCAGCAGAAGAGAUCUUGCUUAUUAUGGAUGUGGAUUAUAUCUCAGCUCAACUCACAGGUUUAAGAUUCUAGAAUGUGCUAGAAAAAUGAACCAAGUGCAGUGGAUUCAAAGGCCAAUGUGAAAUAGUCCCUGCUUACAAGCAGCUUAUGUUCUUUGACAUAUAACAUUGAUUUGAGGGGUGGGGAAGAAGCCCAAUGAGGUUCAUAGGAAAGUGCUGAUGAUGUGAUGCCAGUGAUUUAGAGACUUCCCUAGGAAGCUGCUAGCUACUUCUGAGAACAGCUGAGAUGAUACUGGCUGACUAGAUAGUUAUUUCUACCUAGGGCUGCCAUAGGAAGCAUAUUUGAGGAAAUUUGAAUGUGUUGCAUACUUAAUGGGCUCUUCUGAGUUCUUUGUAGCUUUUUCCUCAUCCUAUAUGAGUGAGGAAAUGAAGACUGUCCUUUA
Non-coding RNA from Monodelphis domestica (gray short-tailed opossum), 2102 nucleotides. NCBI's taxonomy places the organism in Eukaryota, Metazoa, Chordata, Mammalia, Didelphimorphia, Didelphidae. The record is from RefSeq and is a predicted model, not a curated record.